GUCACAAUGUAAUGUGACAAAAUGUGGAAUGAAUUUUUGACAUUGAAAGCGAAUUCGCACUAAAUUUUCAAAGAUAUCGGUUUUUUCCUUCUUCUCAAAGCAAUGGCCAUUCAAAGUAAUGCAAUUCAACUGAUUCGCGGCGGAACAAUUUAUCAAAAUCAAAAUAGACCAGAGUUGUGUUGCGCGCUAUCCGGAUUGGAAUUUCAUUAAAAUGUGUUUUGGUCGAUAAAUGUAAAUCGAACGCCCUAUAUGAAAGAUGCAUCCAAUGAAUAAAUGGAUUUUUCCAGUCAAUCGAUUCCAAGAAGCUGAUACAAAAUCAAUUUUAAACCACACGCUACGACAUAUCAAUAUUUCAGCGGUGUCUAUGGAAAAUAGACUUUUGACCGGUUUUGCUUCGUUUUUUUAUGUAAUCAUCAUUUUGAAUGGCUGAAGUAGUAUGCUAAAAGAGAGGAAAAAAAUGGACACAGUAAAAUCAAAGCCAUGUUAUUUAGGGCAGGAGAUACGAUAAGGAUGAAAAUUGUAUUUCAGCUUCAGAGAUUGUGCGCGCGCGCCGCAGACAAUGGGAUCUCGGGGCAAAAUGUGCUCUUCACGCAUUACACAUAAUACACGACUACGUGCAUUUUAAGUGGGGAUUGCCUUUAUGGUUGCACGCUGAUAAAUUAACAUUGUAUCUGCGCACAACGGAAUAAAUGGCUGUCUGGCGUUCAGGUGUUUUUGCGGACAAUCAAUGCCACCAUUCUUUGUUGCUGAGGUGAACCGUUCGUGAGACAAUUGAACCGAAGACAAGGAAUGAGAAGAAGAGGACAAAAAAAAACCUUACACACCUUUACCAAUCGAGUCAGAACUGCUCCCCCCGUGGCGAUUGAGGUAAUAGCUUGAAUUUUCCCACAAUUUCAAUUGGCUCAUCAAAUUCGAGUCUAAUUAUAGAGCAUCGAAUUUUCUAAGUGCUUUUUUAUUGAAAUGAAUGCACGACUGACCACCAUUAACAUCGAAAGAUUUGAGCUCAUUUAGAGAAAAAAAUAUGGAAUAGAACAGCAUACGAUCACUAUCAAAACAUUCACGAUACAACUCUCAUUGUAGAACUUGUUAAUUUUAAAUUGAGAAACAAAAUAGGAAGCUAACAUUCGGUUUUCUGUUGGAUCGAAACAAUAAAGCGGACGCUGGUCGAGCUAUAAAUUUUUUGGGGGGACUAAAAAAAAGUAGAGAAAAAAGCCAGUUAGGACCGGUGCACAGCUUCAUCGCGAACGAAGGAAGGAAUGAACGGCCAAAGAAGAGAAAGAAAAAAAACAGCCUCCGAAGUGCGAACUAUAUGAAGCAGCAACGUUAAUUAUAAAAACACAACCAAAUACAAUUUAUUUUCUGUCCAAAUUUUAUUUCACGUGCCUUUCGGCCUCAUUUCAACUCAUCGCAUUUAAUGCACCGAGACAAAAGGUUACCAUGACCAUUGUUAGAAUUUAUGUCUCGUUAUUUAUUGAGGGGGAUUCGAUUUUGAUUUUUAUUAUUAAAAAAAAUACACCAAUGUAAUAGCUACGAGCUUGCAUAGCUUACGAUAUAACGACAAAAAGAAACUCGAUGGGUUAUUUAAAUGAUUUAACCCCAAUCAGAGAUGCGGUUAAAGAUAAAGCGAGUACAAACAAAAAUCCAUUUAGCUUAAUUAUUGAAAUUAUGAAGCUUAAUUCCGUGCCACAUCGUAUGUUAUUGUAAAUGGUUAGAGCGCAUACAGAAAAUGCAAUAUUUGCACGUUCAAAAAUAGACACCAAAUUACAAUGAUGUCACAUCAUGUGACUUAGAUGUCAGAAUUUGGUUUUUGGAUUCGUAUAAGAAAUUCUGCCGAUAAAAAUCAACAAUAAAAUAAAUUGGACUUAUAUUUUAAUUAAAAAGUAAAUUGUAAAAUAUUUUAUAUUUCGAUGGGAGAUAAUGGAAAAAGUUUUGAAUAAAAAGCCAAUUGGUUUUCAACCUUGAACUGGAAAAUUGUCCCGAUUAGAUGGGUGACUCUUCUAAAUUUUUUAUUGAAAACAUUGUUUUGCUUUUGUAAUAUUAUAAUGAUGGUUUAUUAGACAAUAAAAAUAGAAUGCGUUUCA
Sitodiplosis mosellana (orange wheat blossom midge) is the source of this 2081-nucleotide long non-coding RNA. RefSeq lists it as uncharacterized. NCBI's taxonomy places the organism in Eukaryota, Metazoa, Arthropoda, Insecta, Diptera, Cecidomyiidae. The transcript is spliced from 8 exons. The record is from RefSeq and is a predicted model, not a curated record.